UACAGAGGUCCCGAGCGUUGUUCGGAUUUACUGGGCGUAAAGGGCGCGUAGGCGGCGUGGUAAGUUUGAUGUGAAAGCUCAGGGCUUAACCCUGAAAUGGCAUUGAAUACUACUGUGCUGGAGGUUUGGAGGGGGGACUGGAAUUCUUGGUGUAGCAGUGAAAUGCGUAGAUAUCAAGAGGAACACCAGUGGCGAAGGCGAGUCCCUGGACAACACCUGACACUGAGGCACGAAAGCCGGGGGAGCAAACAGG
Molecule: ribosomal RNA, 253 nt
Filed under: uncultured bacterium
Lineage: Bacteria
Description: partial 16S ribosomal RNA
Rfam family: Bacterial small subunit ribosomal RNA
Source: RNAcentral